AUAUAUAUAUAUAUAUAUAUAUAUAUGUAUAUAUAUAUAUAUAUAUGUGUGUGUGUGUGUGUGUGUGUGUGUGUGUGUGUGUGUGUGUGUGUGAGGCAGUAAAAUAACUCAAUGUUCCUGCAGCCAAGUGACAGGCAGUUUUCUGAUCCUCGUCACUAAAAUGCCACCUUGUAGAUGCUUACCUCCCCUGAACAAAAAGUUUAAAGUAUUGACAGGAGCAUUUGCUACAUCAUGUAGAAAACAGGCAAACAAAAAACUGGAAGCUUUGGUAGGGCAGUCGCUCAGAUGGGCGAAUUGUCUUCAAGCAGAAGAGCAGACAUUCUAACAUUCAUGGAAGAAGCUGGAUCGUAAUUAUUAUUAAGAUGUUUUUAAUAUCUUAGCAUUCGUGCACAUUUACUGCAUGGCUUUGCAUAAAUCUGAUCAGCACGUGGCUAUCAGCAUCACUUUUGAUCAUUAAAAGAAGCACAGAAUUAAAGGGGGGGAUUAUCAGCUAAACAUGUGAAUGUUUCUCUUAGCACAAGUCUCUCAAGAUCAAUAGGAAAGUUGCUAUACAAGACAUAAGAAAUGUAAUCCCUCCCCAUCCUGCAAAAAUAAACUUUCCCUCCCUUGCCCAGCCCCGUUACAGUACCUAGCUUGGUCUUGAUGGACCAGUAGUAUCAUCGCAUUUUGGCAUGCAUAAUGUCAGCAUGUCCUGCCUCUUUUUGCAUUCAAAGAGAUUUUUUUUGUCAUGCUUUUGUUAGUGCAUAUGCAUGUGCCAAAACACACACACACACUCAAUCACACACACACACACACACACACACACACACACACACACACACACACACACACACACACACACACACACACGUGCAGUUGAUAUCUGAUCAGCUCAAGAAUAAAAUCUUACCACACACCCUCACAUUAUUUUCAUACCAGAGUCCUUAUUGCUUGCAAUGGAAAUCCGUGCAGUUAACUACAAUACACAUUUUACAUAUUAUCUACAUAACCGUGACGUAAGUGGCACACUUUAUCAAGAAGUGGCGAAAGGAGGUUGAGGUGAGAAACUGGGGAAACAGGUCUCAAUGUGUGUGUGUGCGUGUGUGUGUGUGCGUGUGUGUGUAUGUGUGUGCAGUGUCCAUGCCACAUACAGUGAGCUACAUAUUUGUCAGGAACCCCCAAAAGAAAAUAAAGAAAUACAUCAACGAAUGAAUACAUCUAAAUCGUAGAUCCCUCUUGGAAAAUGGAAGCUUUUGCCUAACAUGCCCAUGUUGUACAAUGAACCCCAAACCCUGCAGGACCAACUCCCAUUUCAAUCAGUCCACAUUAAAGCUGCCUUAAAUUGACUGAAUCGUGGCCCAGUCGCACUGACAUCGUUAUGUAGGUCAGCAUUUGUGCCGGAACAAAACCUUGGCAUGUACAGUACAUCGGCUAUCCACUUUAAAGAACGCGCCACAAUUUUCAGUAAAAAAGUCCCACUUUGCUGUUAUUUGCCGCAAAAUGAGAAAUCAAUCUGAAGCUGCUAUGCAACAACGAGAGCCGGGGACCUAUUUUGUACAGUAAGUUAUGCUGACAGAAAAUGCAAGACUGACACUAAAAAGUUCUGAAACACUUUGCUCUCUACAUUUGUCUUAUUGGUGCACAAUCAGGGGCAAAUCAAUCAUGGGCAAGAAAGCUCUUCUAAUGUUUGGCUCGACUUUAAGCACUUAAGACCGAUAUUGAUCUCCUUUCCCCUCCACUCCAUCUUGCCCAGAAUGAAAAUAAGCACAUUUGAUCAAAUAUCACUCAGUUUCCUGUAAAAAAAAAAAGUAAAAUUUUCCUGUCAGGCAAGCUUCUAAACAACACCAAUUGUAAAAGUAUAAAAACAAUAUAACAGAAAAGAAUACUUUUUACGAGGAUCAGUUUUGUCACAUAAGUUAUUGACAAAAAGAUGCUUCAUUAGGCAAAGAAUAAAUACAAACUUUGCUCAGUAUUCCUUCCUCUUAUCAUAAAGGUUGACAUUUGCGCAUCUGUGUAGAGGUAGAUGCACAUGCACAUGUGAACACACACCCACACACCCACACACGCAAACACCCAUCCAUGUGCACACUCGUUGCAUCAGAACACAACUUCACAGAUCCCACAGCACAGUCUCCUUUAUCUCCUUUGCAUAUUUGGACGUUGAAUGCUGUCUCUUUUUUUCCCCCACAAGUUCCUCCCAUGUGGCUUGUUGCUUAUGUCCGUUUGCUCCUCUACCAAGGGCUGUCGCUCCAAUAGCCGUUUACGGUGCCUCCUACUGAAUUGCCACAGCCGAGACAAGAGAUGGAUCGCCAGAAGAGGAGGGAGGUGGGGGUGGGGGGUGGGGGGUGAGUUCAUGAUGGUUACAACAGGGAAAGAAAGAGAAGCCAAAAAAGGGUGUAAACUCAAAAUAUUGCCAUUUCCAGCCAAAUCACACUGGAGUCAGCGCAACGUUGUAUCGCUGUUGGUGGUGAUGGGCAAUGAGAUGAAAUUCUCGUAUCCAGGCUGAGCUGCAGAGUUACUACGCUUGUCACGGCAUGUGGAGCCAAAUGUUGAAUAAUUGCUCCUGUAUUGUUUGUACAUGCAGCGCCUCACCCCUCCCCCACUCCCCACAACUCACCGCUUUUUUUAA
Long non-coding RNA from Hippocampus zosterae (dwarf seahorse), 2608 nucleotides. RefSeq lists it as uncharacterized. Lineage: Eukaryota; Metazoa; Chordata; Actinopteri; Syngnathiformes; Syngnathidae. The transcript is spliced from 2 exons. The record is from RefSeq and is a predicted model, not a curated record.